Small nucleolar RNA from Otolemur garnettii (small-eared galago), 106 nucleotides. The record is from Ensembl. NCBI's taxonomy places the organism in Eukaryota, Metazoa, Chordata, Mammalia, Primates, Galagidae.
AUCAGGGCUCAGUUUCCCCAAAUGUGAUGAUUGGAUUUUAGUGCACAUAUGUGAGAUAUGCCUCCCUCAGACCUUGUUAUGUCAUUGGCACAUUACCCAUCUGAUG